Molecule: non-coding RNA, 241 nt
Organism: Pelobates cultripes (western spadefoot toad)
Lineage: Eukaryota; Metazoa; Chordata; Amphibia; Anura; Pelobatidae
Source: the annotation of a GenBank genome assembly
UUUUUCAGCUCCGAGGCUCUUUCUUCGCUACUUACCUCUAGUUAUCCCUUGGAGCAAUGUAUACGUAAUACGCAUGUGCAGUUUUUGCCCUGUGCACAUCAAAGCUCCUCACAGGAAAGCACUGAAUCCAUAGUUUCCUAUGAGGCCUUCUGCAUCACAUGUCGUUGCAGCAGAAGCACCUCCAGUGGCUAUCAGUGUAACAGCCAAGGAAGGUGUGUUUAACCCGUUUCUUUAAAAUGGC